This 330-nucleotide ribosomal RNA is filed under the name uncultured eukaryote. RNAcentral describes it as "partial 18S ribosomal RNA". It matches the Rfam family "Eukaryotic small subunit ribosomal RNA", at positions 1470 to 1796 of the family's 1831-position model. The record is from RNAcentral.
CCCUUAGAUGUCCGGGGCUGCACGCGCGCUACACUGAAUGAAUCAGCGUGCUAGAAAACCUUGUUUGACAUGGCUAGGUAACCCAUUGAAAAUCAUUCGUGAUUGGGAUCGGGACUUGCAAAUGUGUCCCUUGAACGAGGAAUUCCCAGUAAGUGCGGGUCAUCAGCUCGCGUUGAUUACGUCCCUGCCCUUUGUACACACCGCCCGUCGCUGCCCGGAACUGAGCCGUUUCGAGAAGACUGCGGAUUGCUGACUUGAGGCCUUCACGGGCUUCUAGUCGGUGAAAAUCAAUUUAAUCGCAGCGGCUUGAACCGGGCAAAAGUCGUAACA